This 202-nucleotide ribosomal RNA is filed under the name uncultured Janthinobacterium sp. RNAcentral describes it as "partial 16S ribosomal RNA". It matches the Rfam family "Bacterial small subunit ribosomal RNA", at positions 30 to 232 of the family's 1533-position model. The record is from RNAcentral. Lineage: Bacteria; Pseudomonadati; Pseudomonadota; Betaproteobacteria; Burkholderiales; Oxalobacteraceae.
AUUGAACGCUGGCGGCAUGCCUUACACAUGCAAGUCGAACGGCAGCGCGGGGCAACCUGGCGGCGAGUGGCGAACGGGUGAGUAAUAUAUCGGAACGUACCCUGGAGUGGGGGAUAACGUAGCGAAAGUUACGCUAAUACCGCAUACGAUCUAAGGAUGAAAGUGGGGGAUUCGCAAGAACCUCAUGCUCCUGGAGCGGCCG